CCUACGGGGGGCUGCAGUGGGGAAUAUUGCGCAAUGGAGGGAACUCUGACGCAGCAACGCCGCGUGAAGGAUGAAGGUUUUCGGAUCGUAAACUUCUUUGAUGGGGGACGAAAAAUGACGGUACCCCAAAAACAAGCCACGGCUAACUACGUGCCAGCAGCCGCGGUAAUACGUAGGUGGCGAGCGUUGUCCGGAAUUACUGGGUGUAAAGGGCGUGUAGGCGGGAAGACAAGUCAGAUGUGAAAUACCGAGGCUUAACCUCGGGGCUGCAUCUGAAACUGGAGUUCUUGAGUGUCGGAGAGGAAAGUGGAAUUCCCAGUGUAGCGGUGAAAUGCGUAGAUAUUGGGAGGAACACCAGUGGCGAAGGCGACUUUCUGGACGACAACUGACGCUGAGGCGCGAAAGCGUGGGGAGCAAACAGGAUUAGAUACCCCAGUAGUC
This 441-nucleotide ribosomal RNA is filed under the name uncultured bacterium. RNAcentral's name for it is "partial 16S ribosomal RNA". It matches the Rfam family "Bacterial small subunit ribosomal RNA", at positions 338 to 795 of the family's 1533-position model. The record is from RNAcentral.